UCCGGGGUAGCUCAAUCGGCAGAGCGGGACCCUGUUAAGGUCACGGUUGUGGGUUCGAGUCCCACCCCCGGAG
This 73-nucleotide transfer RNA is filed under the name Solirubrobacteraceae bacterium. Its description in RNAcentral is "tRNA-Asn". It matches the Rfam family "tRNA". Rfam says of the family: Transfer RNA (tRNA) molecules are approximately 80 nucleotides in length. The record is from RNAcentral. Lineage: Bacteria; Bacillati; Actinomycetota; Thermoleophilia; Solirubrobacterales; Solirubrobacteraceae. RNAcentral also lists the same sequence under 2 other names.